Helianthus annuus (common sunflower) is the source of this 535-nucleotide long non-coding RNA. RefSeq lists it as uncharacterized. The record is from RefSeq and is a predicted model, not a curated record. NCBI's taxonomy places the organism in Eukaryota, Viridiplantae, Streptophyta, Magnoliopsida, Asterales, Asteraceae. The transcript is spliced from 3 exons.
CACACUCUCUGUGCGUGGGUUCUGGACGAUCGAAGAGAAGAAAAGGGUUGAAACCCUAGCAUCAAGAAAUCCAGCAAUUUAGCUUGAAUCAAAGGAAAAAUUCGAUGCAUGAUGCCCUAAACUCGAGUAGCUAACCUCAAUUUCUAAGGUGGCACGAAGAAGGAAGAAGGCGCAAGUCACUCGAAGGCAUAAGUAUCUCAAGAUCGCGGUAAAACUCCACUCUAGGCGACUUGGAGAUUUGGAGCGAGCACGGGCCCAUGCUAUGUUAUACCAAAUGCUUCCGCUAGUUUUUGUUCGUCUUUAUGGUCCAUGACUUGUUAUUUUGUCCAACUUUGUUAGUAGUCGUAUUUUGCAAAAACUUGUUGUCCUUGUCUUGGGUAGUUUAAUGUCAAAAAGGGUCAUGGAUUGUUGUUAGUGUUAUGUGUUAAAAACAGGGAGGCAUGUCCGUUUUACGAACGGGUCAUGCCCAAUUUUCCUAAGAAUUUUAUUAUGUAUCAAAGCUUGGUAAUUUGAUGUCUAUAAAUUACUUUUGUAA